UGGGGAAUAUUGCACAAUGGGCGCAAGCCUGAUGCAGCCAUGCCGCGUGUAUGAAGAAGGCCUUCGGGUUGUAAAGUACUUUCAGCGGGGAGGAAGGCGAUAAGGUUAAUAACCUUGUCGAUUGACGUUACCCGCAGAAGAAGCACCGGCUAACUCCGUGCCAGCAGCCGCGGUAAUACGGAGGGUGCAAGCGUUAAUCGGAAUUACUGGGCGUAAAGCGCACGCAGGCGGUCUGUCAAGUCGGAUGUGAAAUCCCCGGGCUCAACCUGGGAACUGCAUUCGAAACUGGCAGGCUAGAGUCUUGUAGAGGGGGGUAGAAUUCCAGGUGUAGCGGUGAAAUGCGUAGAGAUCUGGAGGAAUACCGGUGGCGAAGGCGGCCCCCUGGACAAAGACUGACGCUCAGGUGCGAAAGCGUGGGGAGAAAACA
This 427-nucleotide ribosomal RNA is filed under the name uncultured bacterium. Its description in RNAcentral is "partial 16S ribosomal RNA". It matches the Rfam family "Bacterial small subunit ribosomal RNA", at positions 355 to 774 of the family's 1533-position model. The record is from RNAcentral.